GAUGAACGCUGGCGGCGUGCCUAAUACAUGCAAGUCGAGCGCACGGACGAGAAGCUUGCUUCUCUGAUGUUAGCGGCGGACGGGUGAGUAACACGUGGAUAACCUACCUAUAAGACUGGGAUAACUUCGGGAAACCGUAGCUAAUACCGGAUAAUAUUUUGAACCGCAUGGUUCAAAAGUGAAAGACGGUCUUGCUGUCACUAUAGAUGGAUCCGCGCUGCAUUAGCUAGUUGGUAAGGUAACGGCUUACCAAGGCAACGAUGCAUAGCCGACCUGAGAGGGUGAUCGGCCACCCUGGAACUGAGACACGGUCCAGACUCCUACGGGAGGCAGCAGUAGGGAAUCUUCCGCAAUGGGCGAAAGCCUGACGGAGCAACGCCGCGUGAGUGAUGAAGGUCUUCGGAUCGUAAAACUCUGUUAUUAGGGAAGAACAUAUGUGUAAGUAACUGUGCACAUCUUGACGGUACCUAAUCAGAAAGCCACGGCUAACUACGUG
Molecule: ribosomal RNA, 496 nt
Filed under: uncultured bacterium
Lineage: Bacteria
Description: partial 16S ribosomal RNA
Rfam family: Bacterial small subunit ribosomal RNA
Source: RNAcentral